GUGUGUAGAAGUAUUUUUUAAGUAUAGUUUUUUCUGAUAAACACCAUUCUCUGCUGGACAUAAAUCAAGGUUGCAUCAAGGUUUAUUUACUUAUUUUUGGUGUUGAAGGUGAUCCUAAUGGAAUGCAGAGACAUCAUUAGGUGAUAAUGCAAAGGCCAAGCACACACUGAAUAGUAGUAGUAGAAAUAAUAAUACAAUGUCUAUCUUAAAUGGAGCU
Sphaeramia orbicularis (orbiculate cardinalfish) is the source of this 217-nucleotide long non-coding RNA. RefSeq lists it as uncharacterized. The record is from RefSeq and is a predicted model, not a curated record. The transcript is spliced from 3 exons. NCBI's taxonomy places the organism in Eukaryota, Metazoa, Chordata, Actinopteri, Kurtiformes, Apogonidae.